Molecule: ribosomal RNA, 431 nt
Filed under: uncultured bacterium
Lineage: Bacteria
Description: bacterial SSU rRNA
Rfam family: Bacterial small subunit ribosomal RNA
Source: RNAcentral
GUCGAGAAUCAUUCGCAAUGGACGAAAGUCUGACGAUGCGACGCCGCGUGAGGGAUGAAGGCCUUCGGGUUGUAAACCUCUGUCACAGGGGAAGAAACCUCUAGUGAUUAAUACUCACUAGAAUUGACGGUACCCUGAGAGGAAGCUCCGGCUAACUCCGUGCCAGCAGCCGCGGUAAUACGGGGGGAGCAAGCGUUGUUCGGAUUCACUGGGCGUAAAGGGAGUCUAGGUGGCUAGAUAAGUUGGACGUGAAAGCCCUCGGCUCAACCGGGGAAUUGCUUCCAAAACUGUUUAGCUUGAGUGUAAGAGAGGAAAGUGGAAUUCCUAGUGUAGCGGUGAAAUGCGUAGAUAUUAGGAGGAAUACCGGUGGCGAAGGCGGCUUUCUGGCUUAACACUGACACUAAAGCUCGAAGGCUAGGGGAGCAAACAGG